UCACUUUCAACAACGGAUCUCUUGGCUCUCGCAUCGAUGAAGAACGUAGCGAAGUGCGAUAAGUAAUGUGAACUGCAGUAUUCCGUGAAUCAUCGAACCUUUGAACGCAUAUUGCACUUUCUGGUAUUCCGGAAAGUAUGCCUGUUUGAGGGUCAGCU
Molecule: ribosomal RNA, 158 nt
Filed under: uncultured Glomus
Lineage: Eukaryota; Fungi; Glomeromycota; Glomeromycetes; Glomerales; Glomeraceae
Description: 5.8S ribosomal RNA
Rfam family: 5.8S ribosomal RNA
About the family: 5.8S ribosomal RNA (5.8S rRNA) is a component of the large subunit of the eukaryotic ribosome. It is transcribed by RNA polymerase I as part of the 45S precursor that also contains 18S and 28S rRNA.
Source: RNAcentral